RNAcentral lists this transfer RNA (68 nucleotides) under Cochlespira sp. MNHN IM 2013-19079. RNAcentral's name for it is "tRNA-Lys". The record is from RNAcentral. Lineage: Eukaryota; Metazoa; Mollusca; Gastropoda; Neogastropoda; Turridae.
UCUUAGAUGACUGAAAAUAAGUGCUAGAUUUUUAAUCUAGAUAUGGCACAACCUUUUGCCUCUAAGAG